RNAcentral lists this ribosomal RNA (504 nucleotides) under uncultured bacterium. Its description in RNAcentral is "bacterial SSU rRNA". It matches the Rfam family "Bacterial small subunit ribosomal RNA", at positions 29 to 526 of the family's 1533-position model. The record is from RNAcentral.
AUUGAACGCUGGCGGCAUGCUUUACACAUGCAAGUCGAACGGCAGCGGGGGCUUCGGCCCGCCGGCGAGUGGCGAACGGGUGAGUAAUGCAUCGGAACGUGCCCAGUCGUGGGGGAUAACACAUCGAAAGAUGUGCUAAUACCGCAUACGUCCUGAGGGAGAAAGCGGGGGAUCUUCGGACCUCGCGCGAUUGGAGCGGCCGAUAUCGGAUUAGCUAGUUGGUGGGGUAAAAGCCCACCAAGGCGACGAUCCGUAGCGGGUCUGAGAGGAUGAUCAGCCACACUGGAACUGAGACACGGUCCAGACUCCUACGGGAGGCAGCAGUGGGGAAUAUUGGGCAAUGGGCGAAAGCCUGACCCAGCGACGCCGCGUGUGGGAGGAAGCCUUUCGGGGUGUAAACCACUGUCAGAGGGGACGAACCGUACCGGUGGGAAUACUGCCGGUGCCUGACGGUACCCUCAAAGGAAGCGCCGGCUAACUCCGUGCCAGCAGCCGCGGUAAAUC